This 605-nucleotide long non-coding RNA is filed under the name Sinocyclocheilus anshuiensis. RNAcentral describes it as "lncRNA (ENSSANG00000040826.1)". Lineage: Eukaryota; Metazoa; Chordata; Actinopteri; Cypriniformes; Cyprinidae. The record is from RNAcentral.
UACAUAAAUGCUGUUGACUAAUAGCCAGUGUGGUGACUGAUCAUUUCUAGGCACAGGCUAUGCAGCUGCACUAAGUACUGGUGGUCAGGGGCCCUAUGGUGGUGAGUAAAUCAGUCACAUGAGUUAGACAAACUAGCAAGAUUCUAACCUAAUGACCUCUCUCUUUUAAGGUCUAAUGUGUGGUUAGUUUCACUAUGUUCAUUUUUGUUUUUUCACAGGACAAAAUGAUGGAAGCAAGCUUAGUGGCACUUAUGGGAAUGGGUACAAAGGUUGAUUUCCAAGACCAUGCUGUUAACUUUGUCAGUGUUUUUUUGGCCCCUUUUUGCCUAGUAUUCCUCACCGUUGUGCAGUUUUGUGACAUGUUUUUGUUUGCCAUAUUGUUUUAGUUUUAGGUUUGUGCCCAUUUGUGUGGGCAUGUGUGUUUUGUGUGUACGUGUGGUUUUAAUGUUCAUUGUUAUGUUCCUUGAUGUUUCCCCAGUCUGUUCAUUUGUUUUGUCCGGUGGAGUGUUUAAUGUCCCUUGUGUGUCUCUGUAUCUAACUAAAACAUGCUAAACACUUCAUUGGCUGUUAUUUUAAUUCUUAUGAAACACUAAAUAUUCCACCUC